Non-coding RNA from Sphingobacterium sp. Ag1, 88 nucleotides. The record is from Rfam. Lineage: Bacteria; Pseudomonadati; Bacteroidota; Sphingobacteriia; Sphingobacteriales; Sphingobacteriaceae.
GGAAAGGUGUCAGAGUGGUCGAAUGAGCAGUCCUGGAAAGACUGUAUACGGGAUGACUGUAUCGAGGGUUCGAAUCCCUCCCUUUCCG